GCGAACGGGAUUAGAUACCCUGGUAGUCCACGCCGUAAACGAUGUCGACUUGGAGGUUGUUCCCUUGAGGAGUGGCUUCCGGAGCUAACGCGUUAAGUCGACCGCCUGGGGAGUACGGCCGCAAGGUUAAAACUCAAAUGAAUUGACGGGGGCCCGCACAAGCGGUGGAGCAUGUGGUUUAAUUCGAUGCAACGCGAAGAACCUUACCUACUCUUGACAUCCAGAGAACUUAGCAGAGAUGCUUUGGUGCCUUCGGGAACUCUGAGACAGGUGCUGCAUGGCUGUCGUCAGCUCGUGUUGUGAAAUGUUGGGUUAAGUCCCGCAACGAGCGCAACCCUUAUCCUUUGUUGCCAGCGGUUAGGCCGGGAACUCAAAGGAGACUGCCAGUGAUAAACUGGAGGAAGGUGGGGAUGACGUCAAGUCAUCAUGGCCCUUACGAGUAGGGCUACACACGUGCUACAAUGGCGCAUACAAAGAGAAGCGACCUCGCGAGAGCAAGCGGACCUCAUAAAGUGCGUCGUAGUCCGGAUUGGAGUCUGCAACUCGACUCCAUGAAGUCGGAAUCGCUAGUAAUCGUAGAUCAGAAUGCUACGGUGAAUACGUUCCCGGGCCUUGUACACACCGCCCGUCACACCAUGGGAGUGGGUUGCAAAAGAAGUAGGUAGCUUAACCUUCGGGAGGGCGCUUACCACUUUGUGAUUCAUGACUGGG
RNAcentral lists this ribosomal RNA (711 nucleotides) under uncultured Serratia sp. RNAcentral describes it as "bacterial SSU rRNA". It matches the Rfam family "Bacterial small subunit ribosomal RNA", at positions 768 to 1479 of the family's 1533-position model. Lineage: Bacteria; Pseudomonadati; Pseudomonadota; Gammaproteobacteria; Enterobacterales; Yersiniaceae. The record is from RNAcentral.